GACAGAGGGGGCAGGCGUUGCUCGGAAUCACUGGGCGUAAAGGGCGCGUAGGCGGGAUGGCAAGUCGGUCGUGAAAUCCUUCGGCUCAACCGAAGAACGUCGGCCGAUACUGCCGUUCUUGAGGGAUGCAGAGGAGAUUGGAAUUCCCGGUGUAGCGGUGAAAUGUGUAGAGAUCGGGAGGAACACCGGUGGCGAAGGCGGGUCUCUGGGCAUCUCCUGACGCUGAGGCGCGAAAGCGUGGGGAGCAAACGGG
This 253-nucleotide ribosomal RNA is filed under the name uncultured bacterium. Its description in RNAcentral is "partial 16S ribosomal RNA". It matches the Rfam family "Bacterial small subunit ribosomal RNA", at positions 524 to 776 of the family's 1533-position model. The record is from RNAcentral.